RNAcentral lists this ribosomal RNA (478 nucleotides) under uncultured Alteromonas sp. RNAcentral describes it as "bacterial SSU rRNA". It matches the Rfam family "Bacterial small subunit ribosomal RNA", at positions 8 to 475 of the family's 1533-position model. Lineage: Bacteria; Pseudomonadati; Pseudomonadota; Gammaproteobacteria; Alteromonadales; Alteromonadaceae. The record is from RNAcentral.
AGAGUUUGAUCAUGGCUCAGAUUGAACGCUGGCGGUAGGCUUAACACAUGCAAGUCGAGCGGAAACGAAGAAAAGCUUGCUUUUCAGGCGUCGAGCGGCGGACGGGUGAGUAACGCGUAGGAAUCUGCCUAGUAGUGGGGGACAACCUGUGGAAACGCAGGCUAAUACCGCAUAAUCCCUGAGGGGGAAAGGAGGGGAUCUUCGGACCUUUCGCUAUUAGAUGAGCCUGCGUGAGAUUAGCUAGUUGGUGAGGUAAAGGCUCACCAAGGCGACGAUCUCUAGCUGGUCUGAGAGGAUGAUCAGCCACACUGGGACUGAGACACGGCCCAGACUCCUACGGGAGGCAGCAGUGGGGAAUAUUGGACAAUGGGCGCAAGCCUGAUCCAGCCAUACCGCGUGUGUGAAGAAGGCCUUAGGGUUGUAAAGCACUUUCAGAAGGGAGGAAAGGUUAAUGUUUAAUACGCAUUAGCUGUGACGU